CCUACGGGCGGCUGCAGUGGGGAAUAUUGGACAAUGGGGGGAACCCUGAUCCAGCCAUGCCGCGUGUGUGAAGAAGGCCCUCGGGUUGUAAAGCACUUUCAGUGAGGAAGAACGCCUGGUGGUUAAUACCCAUCAGGAAAGACAUCACUCACAGAAGAAGCACCGGCUAACUCCGUGCCAGCAGCCGCGGUAAUACGGAGGGUGCGAGCGUUAAUCGGAAUUACUGGGCGUAAAGCGCGCGUAGGUGGCUUGAUAAGCCGGUUGUGAAAGCCCCGGGCUCAACCUGGGAACGGCAUCCGGAACUGUCAAGCUAGAGUGCAGGAGAGGAAGGUAGAAUUCCCGGUGUAGAGGUGAAAUGCGUAGAGAUCGGGAGGAAUACCAGUGGCGAAGGCGGCCUUCUGGACUGACACUGACACUGAGGUGCGAAAGCGUGGGUAGCAAACAGGAUUAGAUACCCUAGUAGUC
RNAcentral lists this ribosomal RNA (465 nucleotides) under Vreelandella stevensii. Its description in RNAcentral is "partial 16S ribosomal RNA". It matches the Rfam family "Bacterial small subunit ribosomal RNA", at positions 338 to 795 of the family's 1533-position model. Lineage: Bacteria; Pseudomonadati; Pseudomonadota; Gammaproteobacteria; Oceanospirillales; Halomonadaceae. The record is from RNAcentral.